Molecule: ribosomal RNA, 471 nt
Filed under: uncultured bacterium
Lineage: Bacteria
Description: partial 16S ribosomal RNA
Rfam family: Bacterial small subunit ribosomal RNA
Source: RNAcentral
GACGAACGCUGGCGGCGUGCUUAACACAUGCAAGUCGAACGCUGAAGCUUGGUGCCUGCACUGGGUGGAUGAGUGGCGAACGGGUGAGUAAUACGUGAGUAACCUGCCCUUGACUCUGGGAUAAGCCUGGGAAACUGGGUCUAAUACUGGAUACGACAUGUCACCGCAUGGUGGUGUGUGGAAAGGGUUUUACUGGUUUUGGAUGGGCUCACGGCCUAUCAGCUUGUUGGUGGGGUAAUGGCUCACCAAGGCGACGACGGGUAGCCGGCCUGAGAGGGUGACCGGCCACACUGGGACUGAGACACGGCCCAGACUCCUACGGGAGGCAGCAGUGGGGAAUAUUGCACAAUGGGCGAAAGCCUGAUGCAGCGACGCCGCGUGAGGGAUGACGGCCUUCGGGUUGUAAACCUCUUUCAGCACGGAAGAAGCGAAAGGGACGGUACGUGCAGAAGAAGCGCCGGCUAACUACGU